This 162-nucleotide small nuclear RNA is filed under the name Labrus bergylta (ballan wrasse). RNAcentral's name for it is "U1 spliceosomal RNA (ENSLBEG00000007588.1)". It matches the Rfam family "U1 spliceosomal RNA". Rfam says of the family: U1 is a small nuclear RNA (snRNA) component of the spliceosome (involved in pre-mRNA splicing). The record is from Rfam by way of RNAcentral. Lineage: Eukaryota; Metazoa; Chordata; Actinopteri; Labriformes; Labridae.
AUACUUACUGGCAGGGGAGAUACCAUGAUCAAGAAGGUGGUUCACCCAUGGCGAGGCCUGGCAUUGCACUCCGGUGGGGCUGACCUAUGCGAAUUCCCCAAAUGUGGGAAUCUCGACUGCAUAAUUGUGUGGUAGUGGGGACUGCGUUCGCGCUCUCCCUGA